UGAGUACGAGAUGCUACGGCAUCGAAGCAGUCUAUGUCAUACUUCCAAGAAAAGCUUGCACUGUCAGAAACAGAUAAUGCCUGUACCAUAACCGACACAGGUGGGUAGGUAGAGUAUACUAAGGGGCGCGAGAUAACUCUCUCUAAGGAACUCGGCAAAAUGACUCCGUAACUUCGGGAGAAGGAGUGCCUUAUUUUUAAGGUUGCAAUAACAAGAUCCAAGCAACUGUUUACCAAAAACACAGGUCUCCGCUAAGUCGUAAGACGAUGUAUGGGGGCUGACGCCUGCCCAGUGCCAGAAGGUUAAAGAAGUCGGUUAGCAUUCGCGAAGCUGGUAACUGAAGCCCUGGUGAACGGCGGCCGUAACUAUAACGGUCCUAAGGUAGCGAAAUUCCUUGUCGGGUAAGUUCCGACCCGCACGAAAGGCGUAAUGAUUUGGAUACUGUCUCGGAGAGGGGCUCGGUGAAAUAGACUUGUCUGUGAAGAUGCGGACUACCUGCACCUGGACAGAAAGACCCUAUGAAGCUUUACUGUAACUUGAAAUUGAAAUUGGACUUUAUUUGCGCAGUAUAGGUGGGAGGCGUUGAAAAUAUUCUUGCGGGAAUAUUGGAGCCAUCAGUGAGAUACCACUCUUGUAAUGUUAGAUUUCUAACUUUAUAUCAUUAUCUGGUUAAAGAACAGUUUCAGGCGGGCAGUUUGACUGGGGCGGUCGCCUCCCAAAUGGUAACGGAGGCGCACAAAGGUUUCCUCUGAACGGGUAGAAAUCGUAUCUAGAGUGUAAAGGCAUAAGGAAGCUUGACUGUGAGACCUACAAGUCGAGCAGGGACGAAGUCGGUCUUAGUGAUCUGACGGUGCUGAGUGGAAAGGCCGUCACUCAACGGAUAAAAGUUACUCUAAGGAUAACAGGCUGAUCUCCCCCAAGAGUUCACAUCGACGGGGAGGUUUGGCACCUCGAUGUCGGCUCAUCGCAUCCUGGGGCGGUAGUACGUCCCAAGGGUUGGGCUGUUCGCCCAUGAAAGCGGUACGCGAGCUGGGUUCAGAACGUCGUGAGACAGUUCGGUCCAUAUCCGGUGUAGGCGUUAGAAUAUUGAGAGGAGCCUUCUUUAGUACGAGAGGACCGAGAAGGACAUACCUCUGGUGUACCAGUUAUCGUGCCAACGGUAAACGCUGGGUAGCUAUGUAUGGAGUGGAUAACCGCUGAAAGCAUCUAAGUGGGAAGCCCACCUCAAGAUAAGUAUUCUCAUC
RNAcentral lists this ribosomal RNA (1244 nucleotides) under metagenome. Its description in RNAcentral is "bacterial LSU rRNA". It matches the Rfam family "Bacterial large subunit ribosomal RNA", at positions 1564 to 2818 of the family's 2925-position model. The record is from RNAcentral.